This 253-nucleotide ribosomal RNA is filed under the name uncultured bacterium. Its description in RNAcentral is "partial 16S ribosomal RNA". It matches the Rfam family "Bacterial small subunit ribosomal RNA", at positions 524 to 776 of the family's 1533-position model. The record is from RNAcentral.
AACGUAGGUGGCGAGCGUUAUCCGGAUUUACUGGGCGUAAAGCGUGUGCAGGCGGGGCUCCAAGUGGGGGAUGAAAUUUCCCAGCUUAACUGGGAGAGGUUAUGCCAGACUGGAGUUCUAGAGUGCGAGAGAGGGGCGUGGAAUUCCGGGUGUAGUGGUGAAAUGCGUAGAGAUCCGGAGGAACCCCAGAGGCGAAGGCGGCGCCCUGGCUCGCAACUGACGCUCAGACACGACAGCAUGGGGAGCGAACGGG